GACGAACGCUGGCGGCGUGCUUAACACAUGCAAGUCGAACGGAAAGGCCCUGCUUUUGUGGGGUGCUCGAGUGGCGAACGGGUGAGUAACACGUGAGUAACCUGCCCUUGACUUUGGGAUAACUUCAGGAAACUGGGGCUAAUACCGGAUAGGAGCUCCUGCUGCAUGGUGGGGGUUGGAAAGUUUCGGCGGUUGGGGAUGGACUCGCGGCUUAUCAGCUUGUUGGUGGGGUAGUGGCUUACCAAGGCUUUGACGGGUAGCCGGCCUGAGAGGGUGACCGGCCACAUUGGGACUGAGAUACGGCCCAGACUCCUACGGGAGGCAGCAGUGGGGAAUAUUGCACAAUGGGCGGAAGCCUGAUGCAGCAACGCCGCGUGCGGGAUGACGGCCUUCGGGUUGUAAACCGCUUUCGCCUGUGACGAAGCGUGAGUGACGGUAAUGGGUAAAGAAGCACCGGCUAACUACGUGCCAGCAGCCGCGGUGAUACGUAGGGUGCGAGCGUUGUCCGGAUUUAUUGGGCGUAAGGGCUCGUAGGUGGUUGAUCGCGUCGGAAGUGUAAUCUUGGGGCUUAACCCUGAGCGUGCUUUCGAUACGGGUUGACUUGAGGAAGGUAGGGGAGAAUGGAAUUCCUGGUGGAGCGGUGGAAUGCGCAGAUAUCAGGAGGAACACCAGUGGCGAAGGCGGUUCUCUGGGCCUUUCCUGACGCUGAGGAGCGAAAGCGUGGGGAGCGAACAGGCUUAGAUACCCUGGUAGCCCACGCUGUAAACGGUGGGUACUAGGUGUGGGGUCCAUUCCACGGGUUCCGUGCCGUAGCUAACGCUUUAAGUACCCCGCCUGGGGAGUACGGCCGCAAGGCUAAAACUCAAAGGAAUUGACGGGGCCCCGCACAAGCGGCGGAGCAUGCGGAUUAAUUCGAUGCAACGCGUAGAACCUUACCUGGGUUUGACAUGGAUCGGGAGCGCUCAGAGAUGGGUGUGCCUCUUUUGGGGUCGGUUCACAGGUGGUGCAUGGCUGUCGUCAGCUCGUGUCGUGAGAUGUUGGGUUAAGUCCCGCAACGAGCGCAACCCUUGUUCACUGUUGCCAGCACGUUAUGGUGGGGACUCAGUGGAGACCGCCGGGGUCAACUCGGAGGAAGGUGGGGAUGACGUCAAGUCAUCAUGCCCCUUAUGUCCAGGGCUUCACGCAUGCUACAAUGGCUGGUACAGAGAGUGGCGAGCCUGUGAGGGUGAGCGAAUCUCGGAAAGCCGGUCUCAGUUCGGAUUGGGGUCUGCAACUCGACCUCAUGAAGUCGGAGUCGCUAGUAAUCGCAGAUCAGCAACGCUGCGGUGAAUACGUUCCCGGGGCU
RNAcentral lists this ribosomal RNA (1345 nucleotides) under uncultured bacterium. RNAcentral's name for it is "bacterial SSU rRNA". It matches the Rfam family "Bacterial small subunit ribosomal RNA", at positions 28 to 1381 of the family's 1533-position model. The record is from RNAcentral.